AUGUUAUUGAUAAUAUUUG
Molecule: small nuclear RNA, 19 nt
Filed under: Arabidopsis thaliana (thale cress)
Lineage: Eukaryota; Viridiplantae; Streptophyta; Magnoliopsida; Brassicales; Brassicaceae
Description: snRNA_03719
Source: RNAcentral